GUAUAGGUUUGUGGGCACAAAGGCCCAUUUCAAUUACAUUCUAUAACAUACAUGGUGUAUUAUGAAGAAAACAUAGGUCUGGAAAUGUAAGGAAAGACAAAAGUCAAUCCUCAAACCUGAAUGCCAGAGCAUUCAGAAAGAUAUCCAGAUCUACAAAAGGUGCACAGGUGGAGAUAUAAAGAUGACAAGUGUGCACAUGCUCCCUAGAGAGCCAGCAGCAACCCAUCAGGUUUAUUUCAAUAAUGAUCCUUCCGCAGGUUCACCUACGGAAA
This 272-nucleotide unclassified non-coding RNA is filed under the name uncultured fungus. RNAcentral's name for it is "sequence contains ITS1". The record is from RNAcentral. Lineage: Eukaryota; Fungi.